ACUGAGCAGGCAGGACUGCAGCUGGGAGAGGAGUGGAUUGAUGGGUGGGCUGUUGCGUUAUCGUCACCAAAUGACCGCAGCUGUUCACAGAUGAGCCAGAAGCCUGGAGUCCCAGAGUGCCAGGUGUCAUUCCGGAGACAGCCCCUGCGUGUGCUGGGUGACGUGUCACCACCAAACCAGGCCUCAGGAACACAAGAAAGCAAGGAGAAACCAGACUCUCGGAGACAAGGAUAAAGUAAGAGCUCUACUGGUUGUCACACCUGGGCCACAGAUUUCGUUGGAAGCUGUGCGAUAAAAGAGAUCAGAACACCACAGCUUCCCAGAGGGUUUGACCAAUUACGCCAGCGGCGGCUGAGUUCCAGAUGGUAGCACUGUCCUCACAUCCCAAACUGAUGGAAUCCACGAAAUCAAGCAUCCAACUCCAUCGUAACCACUAAGAGGAAAACGAGGAAGUGUAGACCAUGGCUCUCGGCUAAAAGGAGUCUACGACUUAGUCUGAAAAAUAAUUUUGCUGAACUGUAUUGAAUCACGAUGUAGGGACAAGAGCCACCUUAAAGCAACACAUAUCACGUGUCCCUCUGGGCCCCACCUGCAAGUCUGGAAUCACCUGGAUAGAGAGAAUAGGUGAGGAAGUGGCGGAUAGGUAGGUGGAGGGACCUGAAUAGCUGACAAGCUGGGGAAUGAGGGCAUUGCCUAAACCAGUCUGUGAGCGGAUAUUAUAGUCAGGGCACGGAGAGGGAAACUGGAGACAGUGGCGGCCCCACCAUCAGACAAACCAGCCGACUACCUAGAGCUGUGUGCCAGGGCCUUCCAAGGAGAGUGGCCACGGAUAUUCUCAGAGAGUUGACUGGAGAUUCUCAAAGAGUUUUAUCCUUUACCUGUUACCAACAUGGGGGAGUGCUGGGGAACAGGACUUUACUCCAAAAUAAAAGUCAAUAGCCAAAAUAAAAGUCCCAGCACUUUGGGAGGCCGAGGCAGGUGGUUCACGAGGUCAAGAGAUCGAGACCAUCCUGGUCAACAUGGUGAAACCCCGUCUCUACUAAAAAUACAAAAAAUAGCUGGGCAUGGUGGUGCACGCCUGUAAUCCCAGUUAUUCAGGAGGCUGAGGCAGGAGAAUUGCUUGAACUCAGGAGGCGGAGGUUGCGGAGAGCCGAGAUCAUGCCAUUGCACUCCAGCCUGGGUAACAAGAGCGAAACUCCGUCUCAAAAAAAAAAAAAAAAGUCAAUAGGCCUCAACUGUGGCUUCCACUUGGGCACUCAGAUCUGUACAGCUGCCUGUCCCUCAUGCAUGGUGAAGGCUCACUAGACGAUAAUAGCUGGGGUCAGCAGCACAGCUGGUACAACAGAAUGCGAAGUAGACAUAGGGCUGGAGAGCUUGGAGCUGUCCAUGAGUGUGAGGAGGGUGAGGUGCCUCAGGCUGUUUUAUCUGGAACCAGCCUCGGCAUGCCAACACUGACAUGUGAAGGGGCGUGAUGAGCUGACAGCCCCAAGCAUAGACUAUAACAGGCAGGAGGCACCCUGGGCUUGGCUGCUAAAUAUGUUUUAUGAGCUUGUGUUGGCUUUGGAGCACAAGGAGUGAGGUUUGUUGGCCUGGUGCAGCCCUGGCCCCAAGGCUUGCUUUUGGAAGCCCCUUUCCUUGGCCUGACUUCUAGCAUUUGUGUUUUGAAGUCUGGCUAAGUUGAAUGCCAGGGAUCAGAGUUUAUAUAAAUAACCAGAGGUUAUUGCUUUUAUCCUAUACCAGAGCUUGUGUCUGAUUGUCCUUACUUCCCAAACACAAGAGAUGUGUGUGUUGGGGGAGCGUGUGCUUUGCCCUUUGUGAAUAUCUUCACCACAGUAAGAUAAAAACUAGAGUGUUAAAACUGUAACUCUUGGCACAGUUGAAUCCCUUUGGCUUGGCUAAGAUGCUGAGAGUUCCUCUGUGCUUCUGAGCAGCCCUCCCCUCCACGUUCAUGUUCUUAUUGCAGCUGUGGUCUCCUAAAGAAAGCUAAUUUGCUCAACCUCUGUUAACAGUGAAGACCCUUGGAAUCUUUAUGUUCCCCAAAGAAGGAAGACUGUGAGCUACAGUGUCAAUAUUUUGUUAUUUGAUUUUUAAAAACAAUUUGUUUAUUCCAACUUUUUUCUAGAAAGUACUGGAGUCUGCUCACAAUGAUAACAUAUGCUAUACACAGUUUCCCUGUUAUUUUUUGCUGUUUGGUUAUUUAUAAUGGAGAAACACUUUAUUUUUAUAUUUUCCAAGCUCAUUCACUAUUUCUUCGGUAAUAUUUCUCUGUUUAUUUUUAAAGAAUCUGUAAUUUAUCUCCUACAGCUUGGUCAAACACUGUAGUCCAGAGGGUGACAAGUUAUGGCUGUUGGCCAAAUCCGGCAGCCACCUGUUUUGGUAAAUAAAGUUUCACUGUAAUACAGCCAUGUUCAUUUGUUGAUUACCGUCCAUGGCUCCUUUGGCAGAGAGGAGUAGUUAACAGAGAUAACGGUGUCUGCAAAGCCAAAAGGAUUUCCUGUCUAGCCCUUUGCAGAACAAGUUUGCUACCCCAACUCUAGUUCAUAGUCUAACAUAAUUUUGAAAUAUCCUGAUUGGCACUGU
Callithrix jacchus (white-tufted-ear marmoset) is the source of this 2580-nucleotide long non-coding RNA. RefSeq lists it as uncharacterized. The record is from RefSeq and is a predicted model, not a curated record. Lineage: Eukaryota; Metazoa; Chordata; Mammalia; Primates; Cebidae.